GACGAACGCUGGCGGCGUGCUUAACACAUGCAAGUCGAACGCUGAAGCUUGGUGCUUGCACUGGGUGGAUGAGUGGCGAACGGGUGAGUAAUACGUGAGUAACCUGCCCUUGACUCUGGGAUAAGCCUGGGAAACUGGGUCUAAUACUGGAUAUGACAUGUCACCGCAUGGUGGUGUGUGGAAAGGGUUUUACUGGUUUUGGAUGGGCUCACGGCCUAUCAGCUUGUUGGUGGGGUAAUGGCUCACCAAGGCGACGGCGGGUAGCCGGCCUGAGAGGGUGACCGGCCACACUGGGACUGAGACACGGCCCAGACUCCUACGGGAGGCAGCAGUGGGGAAUAUUGCACAAUGGGCGGAGGCCUGAUGCAGCGACGCCGCGUGAGGGAUGACGGCCUUCGGGUUGUAAACCUCUUUCAGCACGGAAGAAGCGAAAGUGACGGUACGUGCAGAGA
RNAcentral lists this ribosomal RNA (452 nucleotides) under Kocuria sp. oral taxon B56. RNAcentral's name for it is "bacterial SSU rRNA". It matches the Rfam family "Bacterial small subunit ribosomal RNA", at positions 28 to 487 of the family's 1533-position model. Lineage: Bacteria; Bacillati; Actinomycetota; Actinomycetes; Micrococcales; Micrococcaceae. The record is from RNAcentral.